RNAcentral lists this transfer RNA (77 nucleotides) under Phenylobacterium zucineum. Its description in RNAcentral is "tRNA-Val". It matches the Rfam family "tRNA". From Rfam's summary of the family: Transfer RNA (tRNA) molecules are approximately 80 nucleotides in length. Their secondary structure includes four short double-helical elements and three loops (D, anti-codon, and T loops). Further hydrogen bonds mediate the characteristic L-shaped molecular structure. tRNAs have two regions of fundamental functional importance: the anti-codon, which is responsible for specific mRNA codon recognition, and the 3' end, to which the tRNAs corresponding amino acid is attached (by aminoacyl-tRNA synthetases). tRNAs cope with the degeneracy of the genetic code in two manners: having more than one tRNA (with a specific anti-codon) for a particular amino acid; and 'wobble' base-pairing, i.e. permitting non-standard base-pairing at the 3rd anti-codon position. Lineage: Bacteria; Pseudomonadati; Pseudomonadota; Alphaproteobacteria; Caulobacterales; Caulobacteraceae. The record is from RNAcentral. RNAcentral also lists the same sequence under 10 other names.
GGGCGGCUAGCUCAGCUGGUUAGAGCACCUCGUUUACACCGAGGGGGUCGGGGGUUCGAAUCCCUCGCCGCCCACCA